Molecule: ribosomal RNA, 429 nt
Filed under: Triticum aestivum (bread wheat)
Lineage: Eukaryota; Viridiplantae; Streptophyta; Magnoliopsida; Poales; Poaceae
Description: partial small subunit ribosomal RNA
Source: RNAcentral
AUGAAACGGAUUGGGGCAGGCGAGCGGUCGUAUCCUUCAUCACAAUGGAGGUGUAUAAGAAACUGGUGGAGACCUCCAGCAACAGUCCUCCCUUUAAAUAAUGUUCUACAGAAAUUUGUGCCGGCGCCUCUGCUCGAGAUCUGCAAGCUGGGACGUGCUUCUUCUCCAGAUUCAUUAUUUUCCCUACUGAUAAGUCAACGCGAGUUGAAUAACCCCACCACCAUCGUCGCUCAUCUCCUUCCGGUGCGACCCGUGUCGAAAGGGGCAGAUUGGAGCCCUCGCCGCCACCACCGUGUCGCCGUGGACGCAUGCUCGGAGAAUCUGAAUGCCUCUACAGAAUCGAAGGUGGUUGGAUUUAAUAGGAGGAAGCAAAAUGGUAAUGGAAUUCCUAGACAUGUGUUUCCGAGGGAGGCAGGGCAAAUGAUCUAG